Molecule: long non-coding RNA, 336 nt
Organism: Gossypium raimondii (Peruvian cotton)
Lineage: Eukaryota; Viridiplantae; Streptophyta; Magnoliopsida; Malvales; Malvaceae
Exons: 2
Source: RefSeq, a predicted model, not a curated record
CAUCACGAAUGGAAAUUUUAUCACCUCUCCCCACCCUCCAACAGAGUCUUUUUUCAAGCAGUCCUUUCGCAGUCCAUACGCUUUUCCAGGAUUUCUUCUUCUUCUUCAUCAAGGGAUAGACCAGCAAAUUCUGAUUCCAUGGUCGUAAGACGUGAAAAAUAACACUAUUCAAGGCUAAGGAGAUGUCGGCCGUCAAAACCAGAAAACAUAAAAAAAACCUAGGCUUGCCAGAGAGGCAGACAGAAACGUGCUAGGGUAGCAGACUAAAAAAUAUAUAUUCCAGACUAAAAAAAAAUAUUUUCAUUUGUUUAAAUUUAAUUAAUAUUUUGUUAUACA